AAGGCCUUAAGUUAAGCAAACUAAUAUCCUUCAAAGCUAUAAAUAAAGGGCUCCCUUUAGGCCUUG
RNAcentral lists this transfer RNA (66 nucleotides) under Odontotermes javanicus. RNAcentral describes it as "tRNA-Trp". The record is from RNAcentral. Lineage: Eukaryota; Metazoa; Arthropoda; Insecta; Blattodea; Termitidae. RNAcentral also lists the same sequence under 1 other name.